This 553-nucleotide ribosomal RNA is filed under the name uncultured bacterium. RNAcentral's name for it is "partial 16S ribosomal RNA". It matches the Rfam family "Bacterial small subunit ribosomal RNA", at positions 355 to 900 of the family's 1533-position model. The record is from RNAcentral.
UAGGGAAUCUUCGGCAAUGGACGAAAGUCUGACCGAGCAACGCCGCGUGAGUGAAGAAGGUUUUCGGAUCGUAAAACUCUGUUGGUAGAGAAGAACGUUGGUGAGAGUGGAAAGCUCAUCAAGUGACGGUAACUACCCAGAAAGGGACGGCUAACUACGUGCCAGCAGCCGCGGUAAUACGUAGGUCCCGAGCGUUGUCCGGAUUUAUUGGGCGUAAAGCGAGCGCAGGUGGUUUAUUAAGUCUGGUGUAAAAGGCAGUGGCUCAACCAUUGUAUGCAUUGGAAACUGGUAGACUUGAGUGCAGGAGAGGAGAGUGGAAUUCCAUGUGUAGCGGUGAAAUGCGUAGAUAUAUGGAGGAACACCGGUGGCGAAAGCGGCUCUCUGGCCUGUAGCUGACACUGAGGCUCGAAAGCGUGGGGAGCAAACAGGAUUAGAUACCCUGGUAGUCCACGCCGUAAACGAUGAGUGCUAGAUGUAGGGAGCUAUAAGUUCUCUGUAUCGCAGCUAACGCAAUAAGCACUCCGCCUGGGGAGUACGACCGCAAGGUUGAAAC